This 241-nucleotide ribosomal RNA is filed under the name uncultured bacterium. RNAcentral's name for it is "partial small subunit ribosomal RNA". It matches the Rfam family "Bacterial small subunit ribosomal RNA", at positions 26 to 285 of the family's 1533-position model. The record is from RNAcentral.
AGGAUAAACGCUGGCGGCGUGCCUAACACAUGCAAGUCGAACGAGAAAGUGGAGCAAUCCAUGAGUAAAGUGGCGCACGGGUGAGUAACACGUGACUAACCUACCUUUAGUGGGGAUAACCUAGGGAAACCUGGGCUAAUACCGCAUAACACUUACGAGUCAAAGCAGCAAUGCGCUGAAAGAGGGGUCGCGGCCGAUUAGCUAGUUGGCGGGGUAAUGGCCCACAAGGCAGUGAUCGGUA